RNAcentral lists this ribosomal RNA (373 nucleotides) under uncultured bacterium. Its description in RNAcentral is "bacterial SSU rRNA". It matches the Rfam family "Bacterial small subunit ribosomal RNA", at positions 523 to 898 of the family's 1533-position model. The record is from RNAcentral.
AUACGGAGGGUGCAAGCGUUAUCCGGAUUUAUUGGGUUUAAAGGGUCCGUAGGCGGGCCGAUAAGUCAGUGGUGAAAUCUCGCAGCUUAACUGUGAAACUGCCAUUGAUACUGUUGGUCUUGAGUAAAUUUGAAGUGGCUGGAAUAAGUAGUGUAGCGGUGAAAUGCAUAGAUAUUACUUAGAACACCAAUUGCGAAGGCAGGUCACUAAGAUUUAACUGACGCUGAUGGACGAAAGCGUGGGUAGCGAACAGGAUUAGAUACCCUGGUAGUCCACGCCGUAAACGAUGCUAACUCGUUUUUGGGCACUUGUGCUCAGAGACCAAGCGAAAGUGAUAAGUUAGCCACCUGGGGAGUACGAUCGCAAGAUUGAA